This is a non-coding RNA of Schizosaccharomyces pombe (fission yeast), 591 nucleotides long. NCBI's taxonomy places the organism in Eukaryota, Fungi, Ascomycota, Schizosaccharomycetes, Schizosaccharomycetales, Schizosaccharomycetaceae. The record is from the annotation of a GenBank genome assembly.
CGAUCCGAAUGCGAUUGUAUAUACAAGCACCCUUCCAGGCAACAAAUUGAGCAUCCAUACUUCUUGGUGGAGGAAUUACCGAAAUAGUAGGGAUGUUGGCACGCUUGGAAUGGAUACGCUCUUCCAGUAAAUGAGCAAAGCCCGGGAACUGACCAGCUCCACCGACGAUCAAAAUGCUUGAGUAAAGAUUUUUUGCCUUCUCAUCACUUAAAUUUCCAUCACAUGCACUAAAUAUACUCUGGUUGAUUGCAUCAUCCAAAGGAUAUAUCAGUUUCUCAUUCUUUAUUUCUGGAGCAGCAAGUGAGCCACAAUAUACUACCCGUGGAGGCUUGAAUUUUACCGAAGGUGUCACCAAAUCACUUUCUUCUUUUUUCUCUUCAUCAUCUUUUCCAUUAGCUUUGAUGUUGGAUAUCGGCGUAGAUAUUUGCAAUAAAGUGGUUUGGGCAAGUGAUUCGGGAUUAUUCGGUUGGUUGUCAUAUACAUCGACCGGCACUGGAAACAAAGUAUACCGAUCAUGAAGUUUAUUUUCAUUUUCAAAAAUGUCAGGGCGAAAGAAUCCAAGAGGUGCAAGCAUUGUUUCGUCAAGGCUUU